Long non-coding RNA from Mauremys reevesii (Reeves's turtle), 713 nucleotides. RefSeq lists it as uncharacterized. The record is from RefSeq and is a predicted model, not a curated record. Lineage: Eukaryota; Metazoa; Chordata; Testudines; Geoemydidae. The transcript has 5 exons.
UGAACUUGCAUAAGAUAGAUCUUCUGCUCGUACAUUGAAUUGAGACAAAAAGUUGCUGGCCUCUUGUGUUGUAUCCUGUGAUGUAGCAACAGCAGUGAGACUGCAAAGAAGCCAUAGAUGGACCAACAUACUUCCUUCUGAGCCAAGAUCCACUAAUUGAGGCGAUUCACUCACAGCUCCUACAGGCAACCAAAUGUACUCUCUGUCUUCACCUUACAUAACUGCUAAGGAGACUCAUGCCAAGCUACUGGUAAUUAAUCUCACUGCUGAAGAUCCAAUUCAGGAAAAGGAAUCUCACAGCACAUAGAGAGGACACAAUCGCUGCCCAGAAGAGCUUACAGUCUAAAUUGAUGGGACAUACAACAGAUGUGGGAAGCGGGCAGAGAUUGUCUGCGCAGAUUAUUUCCGGACCCUGGAACCACAGAGGAGCCAGGCUUUGAGUGGUGCAUCUAUUGAUUGGGAUGGAAAAUGUGUCCUAUGAGAGGAGCCAUGGUGUUAGGUGGAGAGAGAUUGGUCGGCAUACCAUCAUGCAUAGAAGGUGGGUGAAAUUGCCACAAAUUUGAAGAAAAAAAUUAUGAAAACAGGGUUUGUAUCAAAAAGAAGUAAGAAGUGAAUCUUCAUGGACCAAAAGUCUCAUAAGCUGGAAAAACGAACAAUCUUGAAAAAGCUUUACAGGUCACUUUUAAUGAUUUGUUUACUUCACCUCAUUUUCU